GAACGCAGCGAAAUGCGAUAAGUAAUGUGAAUUGCAGAAUUCAGUGAAUCAUCGAAUCUUUGAACGCACAUUGCGCCCGCCAGUAUUCUGGCGGGCAUGCCUGUUCGAGCGUCAUUUCAACCCUCAGACCCCUCCGGGGGCCUGGUGUUGGGGCCCGGCCGUCACGGCGCCGGCCCCGAAAUCUAGUG
This 188-nucleotide ribosomal RNA is filed under the name Acremonium sp. UCR2318. Its description in RNAcentral is "5.8S ribosomal RNA". The stretch from base 1 to 114 matches the Rfam family "5.8S ribosomal RNA", at positions 41 to 154 of the family's 154-position model. Rfam says of the family: 5.8S ribosomal RNA (5.8S rRNA) is a component of the large subunit of the eukaryotic ribosome. It is transcribed by RNA polymerase I as part of the 45S precursor that also contains 18S and 28S rRNA. The record is from RNAcentral. Lineage: Eukaryota; Fungi; Ascomycota; Sordariomycetes; Hypocreales; Bionectriaceae. RNAcentral also lists the same sequence under 1 other name.